This is a non-coding RNA of Cinara cedri, 211 nucleotides long. The record is from the annotation of a GenBank genome assembly. NCBI's taxonomy places the organism in Eukaryota, Metazoa, Arthropoda, Insecta, Hemiptera, Aphididae.
UAGAAAUUAAAAAUAUAAAACAAAUCAAAGUCUGUAGGUAUCAAUCAUCUGGAUAUUAUUCAUCAUUAUCUGAGUAUAGUAUUCCUGGAAUAUUCAUAUAUUUUUUUUUUCAUUGAUUUUAGAGUUUGCGUAAAGCGCGCGUAUUUGCAUGUUAUUUACAUAUUUUAAUAUUAUGGAUAUUGGAUAACAUUGGAAACAAUCGGUAAUAAGG